AGCUUUGCGCAGUGGCAGUAUCGUAGCCAAUGAGGUUUAUCCGAGGCGCGAUUAUUGCUAAUUGAAAACAAAAUCAUUAGCCAUCAGGGAACUUCAAAUCAAAACCACACUGAGAUACCAACUUACGCCAGUUAGAAUGGCAAAAAUUGACAAGGCAAGAAACAAUUGCU
Ursus thibetanus thibetanus is the source of this 170-nucleotide small nuclear RNA. Its record names the gene U4. It matches the Rfam family "U4 spliceosomal RNA". Rfam says of the family: U4 small nuclear RNA (U4 snRNA) is a component of the major U2-dependent spliceosome. Lineage: Eukaryota; Metazoa; Chordata; Mammalia; Carnivora; Ursidae. The record is from Ensembl.